AUUGAACGCUAGCGGGAUGCUUUACACAUGCAAGUCGAACGGCAGCGCGGACUUCGGUCUGGCGGCGAGUGGCGAACGGGUGAGUAAUGUAUCGGAACGUGCCCAGUAGCGGGGGAUAACUACGCGAAAGCGUAGCUAAUACCGCAUACGCCCUACGGGGGUAAGCAGGGGAUCGUAAGAUCUUGCACUAUUGGAGCGGCCGAUAUCGGAUUAGCUAGUUGGUGAGGUAACGGCUCACCAAGGCGACGAUCCGUAGCUGGUUUGAGAGGACGACCAGCCACACUGGGACUGAGACACGGCCCAGACUCCUACGGGAGGCAGCAGUGGGGAAUUUUGGACAAUGGGGGCAACCCUGAUCCAGCCAUCCCGCGUGUGCGAUGAAGGCCUUCGGGUUGUAAAGCACUUUUGGCAGGAAAGAAACGUCGCGGGCUAAUACCCCGUGGAACUGACGGUACCUGCAGAAUAAGCACCGGCUAACUACGUG
RNAcentral lists this ribosomal RNA (484 nucleotides) under uncultured bacterium. Its description in RNAcentral is "partial 16S ribosomal RNA". It matches the Rfam family "Bacterial small subunit ribosomal RNA", at positions 30 to 507 of the family's 1533-position model. The record is from RNAcentral.